UCAUCGAAUCUUUGAACGCACCUUGCGCCCCUUGGUAUUCCGAGGGGCACGCCUGUUUGAGUGUCGUG
RNAcentral lists this ribosomal RNA (68 nucleotides) under Artomyces pyxidatus. Its description in RNAcentral is "partial 5.8S ribosomal RNA". It matches the Rfam family "5.8S ribosomal RNA", at positions 89 to 154 of the family's 154-position model. Rfam says of the family: 5.8S ribosomal RNA (5.8S rRNA) is a component of the large subunit of the eukaryotic ribosome. The record is from RNAcentral. Lineage: Eukaryota; Fungi; Basidiomycota; Agaricomycetes; Russulales; Auriscalpiaceae.